CGGCGGACGGGUGAGUAACACGUGGGCAACCUACCUUGUAGAUUGGGAUAACUCCGGGAAACCGGGGCUAAUACCGAAUAAUCCAUUUUUGCUUCAUGGCGAGAUGUUGAAAGACGGUUUCGGCUGUCACUACAAGAUGGGCCCGCGGCGCAUUAGCUAGUUGGUAGGGUAAUGGCCUACCAAGGCGACGAUGCGUAGCCGACCUGAGAGGGUGAUCGGCCACACUGGGACUGAGACACGGCCCAGACUCCUACGGGAGGCAGCAGUAGGGAAUCUUCCACAAUGGACGAAAGUCUGAUGGAGCAACGCCGCGUGAGUGAAGUAAGGUUUUCGGAUACGUAAAACUCUGUUGUAAGGGGAAGAACACGUACGAGAGUAACUGCUCGUACCUUGACGGUACCUUAUUAGAAAGCCACGGCUAACUACGUG
RNAcentral lists this ribosomal RNA (429 nucleotides) under uncultured bacterium. RNAcentral's name for it is "bacterial SSU rRNA". It matches the Rfam family "Bacterial small subunit ribosomal RNA", at positions 96 to 507 of the family's 1533-position model. The record is from RNAcentral.